AUUGUGGAUCCUUACAAUAUUCAAGCUCUGAAAUUAUAUUUGAUUUAGGUGUAAUGCAACCAAAUCUAUUAUUGAAGGUUUAGUCAUAAUGUGAUGAAACAUCCUCAAGCUGUUGUACUUGAAUGGAUUGAGAUCAUUGUUGCUAUAUUAUUUGUAGAGAUAAUGAAAAACAAGUGCUUGAAGAACUGACACAUGGUGUUUUGGUUGUAAUUGCAAGCAUAUCUUUUUCUUUUAAAAGUCUCUUACCAUUCUUUCAACCUCAACAAUGGAUUUUCAAUUCAAUGAAGUUUUUUGUAUGCUAGAUGUUGGUAUUUUUUUCUAUUAUAGUGUACUAAAAUAGAUCACAAAAAUCAAUACAAUCUUUAGAGUAAGAAUAUGUAUUUUUUCAUUUUUUUUUGCUUAAGUGAAGACUUGUAUAUUAAAUGCAAUAAUGAUCUUCACUAUACAAGUAUCCACAUUUGUCUACAACUACCUAUGAUUCAAUUCCUUGUUUAUGAACAAUACUAAUCAAAAAUUCAAUUUCAUAUCUGCACAAGUAAACUUUUAUCACAAUUAGGCCUCCUCUGUUGAUAUCAUUUUUAUAUCAUAAGCUCAUGCUUCCAAAGGCACUUAUAAAUGAUAUUUUUUUUAAAAUUAAUAUGUGCUUUGAAUAAAGACGUGAUAAAUAAUUG
RNAcentral lists this long non-coding RNA (671 nucleotides) under Physcomitrium patens. Its description in RNAcentral is "long non-coding RNA (PPAT_LNC004765)". The record is from RNAcentral. Lineage: Eukaryota; Viridiplantae; Streptophyta; Bryopsida; Funariales; Funariaceae.